GCUUCCGAAGGGUCAGUCUCACCCAACCAAGCAUCUUAAACGCAUCUUCCCAGCAUCGUAACCUUGACAACUGUCCCAUUUAUCCACGUUUAUCAAGUUCACGUUGUGAAUACUGUAGCUGAAGACCCGCAGGGACCCAAACGGUACAUGCAGAGCCCAUUAACCAAUCCAUUGUGUUAAUGAACUACUACUGGUCAUUGAUCAGGUUUCACUCAAACGUAGCCAGUGAGCGUGGUAGUCGCCUGGCUAACUGUGGUAACACUCUAGAACUGAGUGUCCUCGCCCAGCGUCACAGCGUGUCUUGAGGUCACUGAGCUUCGGUACUAACUGACUUGACAAUUUCGUGAAAUAACGUCCAACAACAACAGCGUUUUCGGGAGUGACAUCCUGAAGGCAGAAACAAACAUAAGCUGAGCGUGACUGUUAUAUCUUCUGUCGCAGUAAACAACACGACCAAGAUGGUGCAGGAUCAAGUGUGUUACUCCUCCAGCAGCAGCGGGUGUGAUCCUCAGGCCAGGAAGGACUCAUUCAAAGUGUUGGACAUGAUCACUUACCCUCAGGCCAAAAUGAUCACCUUGACCCAGAGCAAGAGUGAGGGCGUGAAGAAGAGCAAAAAGACAGACAUAUGGGGCCCGGUGUUCCAGAAUAAACAACACUUCGUCGACAUGCACCUCUGUUAGCCUCCUGUACAGACAACACCGUAUACUGUACUUAUAAUCAUGUGUUCCUAAAUAUAACUGUAUGUUGUCUUAGUACUUCACAAUCAUCGCGCCAUAACACACCAUAAAGCUAAGUUGCUGUUAUGAGGCGGGAAACCUUAUCAAGCCGCCUCCACCAUCCCCACGUCACCCUCACCACCCACUCACCUCUAUAUCUAUUCAUCCAACUAACCAAAUAGUAUAUAAUAUAAAUCAUCCCUAUUUAAAAAGAUGAUUUAUAGAUACCAUAAUAUAUUUAUAAUAAAAUAUUUUUUUGGUA
Homarus americanus (American lobster) is the source of this 978-nucleotide long non-coding RNA. RefSeq lists it as uncharacterized. Lineage: Eukaryota; Metazoa; Arthropoda; Malacostraca; Decapoda; Nephropidae. The record is from RefSeq and is a predicted model, not a curated record. The transcript is spliced from 4 exons.